Molecule: transfer RNA, 1712 nt
Filed under: Homo sapiens (human)
Lineage: Eukaryota; Metazoa; Chordata; Mammalia; Primates; Hominidae
Description: HSALNT0391205
Source: RNAcentral
UGGAGUCUUGCUCUGUUGUUCAGGCUGGAGCGUGUAGGGCCAUCUCCGUUCACUGCAACCUCUGCCUGCUGGGUUCAAGCAAUUGUCCUGCCUCAGCCUCCUGAGCAUCUGGGAUUACAGACACCUGCUACCACGCCCAGCUUUUUUUCUAUUUUCAGUAGAGAUGGGGUUUCACCAUGUUAGCCAAGCUGGUCUUGAACUCCUGACCUCAAGUGAUCCGCCCGCCUUGGCCUCCCAAAGGGCUGGGAUUGCAGUUGUGAGCCAUCGCGGCCGGCCUAAAAGAAUUUUUUUUUUGAGACGGAGUUUCGUUCUUGUUGCCCAGGCUGGAGCGCAAUGGCGUGAUCUCGGCUCACUGCAACCUCCGCCUCCCCGGUUCAAGCGAUUCUCUUGCCUCAGCCUCCCGAGUAGCUGGAAUUACAGGCGCGCACCACCACGCCUGGCUAAUUUUUUGUGUUUUUAGUAAAGACGGGGUUUCACCAUGGCCAGGCUGGUCUUGAACUUCUGACCUCGGGUGAUCCGCCUGCCUCGGCCUUCCAGAGUGCUAGGAUUACAGGUGUGAGCCACCGUGCCCAGCCAAGAAUUUUUUUUUUUUAAGUAAAUAUUUCUUUUUAGGGGUCAGAUUUCGUGUUCACUUGCAAGCUCUCAAUGACAGUGUUUUUUGCCUCGGCCUCCGAAAGUGCUGGGAUUACAGGCGUGAGCCACCGUGCCCGGCCAUUUUGGUUUUUUAAUUUUUUUUUUUUUUCUUUUUGAGACAGAGUUUCGCUCUUGUUGCCCAGGCUUGAGUGCAAUGGCGCAAUCUUGGCUCACUGCAACCUCCAUCUCGCGGGUUCAAGCGAUUCUCCUGCCUCAGCCUCCCAAGUAGUUGGGACUACAGGCAUGCGCCACCACGCCCGGCUAAUUUUUUCUAUUUAGUAUUUCAACAGUUGGUCAGUCUGUUCUCGAACUCCUGACCUCAGGUGACGCCUCGGCCUCCCGAAGUGCUGGGAUUACAGGAAUGAGCCAUGGCCUGGUUUUUAAAUUCUUUUUAAAGAUUGAUACUUCAUAUUGAUUUUGAAUUUUUUUGUUUUUGUUUUUUGAGACAGGGUCUCGCUCCGUUACCCAGGCUGGAGUGCAGUGGCCCAAUCAUAUUAUAACUUACUGCUAAUUUUAAAAUUUUUUUCUGGGGAGGUUGGGGUUGGGGGUGGUGUCGUCUCCUUAUGUCGCCCAGGCUGGUCUCAAACUCCCGGACUCAAGUGAUUCUCUCGCCUUGGCCUCCUAAAGAGCUGGAAUUACAGGCGUGAGCCACCCCACCCCGAAUAACAAGUGAUAUUGUGUUACAUUCGUAUAAUGUGUAAUGAUCAAAUCAGGGUAACUGGGAUAGCUGUCACCUCAAACACUGAUCAUUUCUUUGUGUUAGGAGCAUUUCAAAUAUUUUCUUCUAGCUACUUUGAAAUAUACAGUAAAUUACCGUUAGCUAUAAUUACCCUACUGUGCUACCGAACACUAGGUCUGACCGUAUUUUAGUACCCAUUCGCUGACAGUGUUUUUAAAACUCUCAAAAGCACCUCUUUAUUUGUGAUAACGAUAGCUGCCAAGAACCAUCUCUUAAUCAACUGUCCAAUGAUCGCCCUCUCUUCCACCAAAACUAAUCUCACGCGACCCAGAUGGGACUCGAACCCACAAUCCCCAGCUCCGGAGGCUGAUGCCUUAUCCAUUAGGCCACUGGGUCACCA